CAUUUACUCCCUCUAACUAGCAACCCGGCCAUAUACUCGAAGUAGUCCCUAGCUAACCACUUACACCGUUUCGUUUCUCUUCAGCCUAAAAAUCAAUCCAUAACCCCACUCUCUCGCUGUGCUCCUCCACCCUCUCAUUUCACUCCUCGCUCUCUGCGAUUCUCUAAGUCGCAAAACCUAACCCCUCUUUUCUUCGAUCUCUGGUUUUUGAAUUUCAAGAUGAGUGAGAUUCUCCACAUCCAAGGCGGCUAGUGUGGCAACCAUAUUGGAGCCAAGUCUUGGGAGGUGCUCUCUGUCGAGCACAACAUCGGCAGGUAUGAAGGCUACGCGCUUCAUCUUGAGAGGAUCAAUGUCUGCUACAACGAGGGCCAGUGGCGCUAGGUACGUGCCCAUGGACAUCGUCAGAUCUAAACCGUACAUCCAGAUCUUCAAGCUGGAAAACUUCAUCUUCGACCUGUACACGCCGAGCACAACUGGGCUAAAGGUCACUACACUGAAGGGGCUGAGUUGAUCGACCAAAGUGAAGAGAUUUAUGAUCUGCUGUCUAGCAAGGUGGUGGAGGGUUUGGGUUUGGAUGGCCUAAAGGAAUGACUGCAAUUCUAAGUUUUGGAGCUGCAAUAUAUGGUACCGGUGCAAACAAAUUGCAGUGACAGCAAGUGCUUAAAGAGCUAGAUCUGCUAGAAAACCUUUUGAUCCAAAACUAAAAGAAGUGAUUCAUUUGAUCCAUUAAUUGUAUUCCUUCAUGGAGGCUGGCAUACUGUUUCUUUGUCAAGCGUUUCAAAGUCCUUAGCAUUUCUCUCUAUAAUUGGGUCCAACUUGUUACUUGUAAAUUAUAGAGCGAGGUUCACUGGAAUUUGGUGAGGAAGCACUUCAAUCUCUUCCAGGGAAUAUUGGCUCCCAGCUUCGUGGAUACAGUCCCAGUCCUUGUUGGUCCAGUGUCCUACUUGUUGCUGUCCAAACCAACAAAGGGUGUUGAAAAGACAUUUUCGCUAAAGGAAAGUACAUCUUUGCUGGAUUGGUUGAUGGAAGGAACAUUUGAGCUAAUGAUCUCUCUGCUUCCCUAAGUACAUUGCAAGCUCUUGAAGGCAUUGUUGGCAAAGACCACCUUGUCGUCUUUACCUCCUGCUCUCUUCUUCACACUGCUGUUGAUCUUGUUAAUGAGACUAAGCUGGACAAUGAAAUCAAAUUGUGGCUCGCCUUUGCUGCCCAGAAAAUUGUUGAAGUUAAUGCUUUGGCAAAGGUAUUGGCUGGUCACAAGGAUGAGGUAUAGUAUCAUGCUCUUCUGCUGCAAUGUGCAACUUCCAAAGCUUCACAACAAGCUUGGAGGUGAUGCAAAUUAGAAUAUAGUGCACAAGAUGGUUUGAAAUGGUGCAGCUAGGAUGCUUUCUUUGAUGGUUUUAUGGUCUAGAAACUUGCAGCUAGGAUGCUUUCUUUGAUGGUUUUAUGGUCUAGAAACUUGAAUGUAUGGAUAAUUUACAAAUAUAUUGGAGCAUUGU
Molecule: long non-coding RNA, 1496 nt
Organism: Rosa rugosa (rugosa rose)
Lineage: Eukaryota; Viridiplantae; Streptophyta; Magnoliopsida; Rosales; Rosaceae
Exons: 8
Source: RefSeq, a predicted model, not a curated record